CCCAGCUGCUUCAACCCGAAGCAGGAGAAGUAGAGGAAAACACCUCCUCACAGAGGAUGUGGAAGGAUCAAAAGCUAUCUAUCGCGAUUGUCGAGACUUCCUAAAGCAACGUCGAGAGAAUCCCAUCCACAUAAGCUCGAAGAUCAAUGACCCAAGGGUUUCUGAAAGACUCGGUCCUCUUCCACGACCCAGGCCAGCCGCCAAUCUAGAUAAGGGGCAACAAGUCCCAGAAGAAUAUGAAGGUACUGGGGACUCGGAAACAUUCCGACAUACUUACUCUAGAAGUCAGUGUGGCGAGUCCAGAGAAAGAUCACGCUAUCUUGAUCAAACUUUCCUACUUCCAAGAGGUGAUGGGGACUUAAAGAAGAAAACUUCAGUGGUGCACGACUCCACUCAGGACCCCCUUGUCCUGCAGCUCCUUGAGGAAGUAAACAAGCUGAAGGCUGAACGUCAAGCCGAGAUACCUGACUGGAACCAACCCAGGCCUGGCCCUCUCACAAGAAUGAUCCUCAACACUCCCCUCCAAGCGAAGACAAAGCAGAAGCUUGACUUACAGCUCUAUA
This 563-nucleotide long non-coding RNA is filed under the name Malus domestica (apple). Its description in RNAcentral is "long non-coding RNA (MDOM_LNC019735)". The record is from RNAcentral. Lineage: Eukaryota; Viridiplantae; Streptophyta; Magnoliopsida; Rosales; Rosaceae.